AACGGUGAAACACCUAAGUGCAAUAUUGAAUAAAGAGAAAAACGGUGAAACACCUAAGUGCAAGUGCAAUUGCACUUAGGUGUUUCACCGUUUUUCUCUUUAUUCAAUAUUGCACUUAGGUGUUUCACCGUUUUUCUCUUUAU
This is a non-coding RNA of Pelobates cultripes (western spadefoot toad), 143 nucleotides long. NCBI's taxonomy places the organism in Eukaryota, Metazoa, Chordata, Amphibia, Anura, Pelobatidae. The record is from the annotation of a GenBank genome assembly.